GGGCGGAUGGUUUAGUGGUAUAAUUUUCCCUUAGCAUCGUGUAACCUACUGGUUGCUCAACCGCCUGGGAAAGGUCCGGGGUUCGAUUCCCCGUUCGUCCA
Transfer RNA from Trichoderma virens Gv29-8, 101 nucleotides. It matches the Rfam family "tRNA". Rfam says of the family: Transfer RNA (tRNA) molecules are approximately 80 nucleotides in length. Their secondary structure includes four short double-helical elements and three loops (D, anti-codon, and T loops). The record is from Rfam. NCBI's taxonomy places the organism in Eukaryota, Fungi, Ascomycota, Sordariomycetes, Hypocreales, Hypocreaceae.